ACCACGUGCCAACUUCCCACUGUCCCAACAUUCCGGAAGUAGAAGGGAGAGGGAUUGGCAUUUCUAGCACGACAGAAGAGAUCACUUAUCGGUCGACGAGUCCGGCUGCUGUCAAGAAGAGAUCGAUGCAACUGCUGCAGCGAUUGAAGUGUGUGCAUGAUGAACUGACUCACGAGCGACUACGUAACGAUCUGUCAGCAAAACUUGCAAGGAUCACUGCGACAUGGUCAACUGCAGAAGUGGAUAUAUCAUCGAAGACUUGCCAAUCGACCAGUUUUGGAACGGCUUCGAAGAUCUUUCUGCUCGAAUGGUCGACGAUCAAGGCGAUUCCAUGUUACUCUGUUACUCAAGCUGAAGAUUUGAAGAUUUUAUGGAAAACAUUCCUUUGCCGGAAUACACACGACGAGACUGUCGGCUAAAUCUUGCAGCCAGACUUCCAGAUCGAAUUGUGAAGCCUGACUUAGGUCCUAAGAUGUACAAUGCAUUUGCUCGGCAGCGUGCCCGAAGGAAGGAACGACCAAUCUACAUCUCGACAUGUCUGAUGCAGUGAAUGUCAUGGUGUACGUGUACGUCGGCAUCCCAUGCUCAAGUGAGUCAUCAGUCGACGAGUUUGGAUGCUGUCAAGAAGAUCAAUGCAGCUGCUGCAGCGAUUGAGAAGUUCGACGAACUGACUCACGAACGACUAAGGAACGAUCUGUCAGCAAAAGUGUUAAGUAGCUGCUUUUCUCACUACAGAGUGUCAGACAGGGUGUAUGUUCUAAAUUCGAUUACAA
Molecule: long non-coding RNA, 773 nt
Organism: Corticium candelabrum
Lineage: Eukaryota; Metazoa; Porifera; Homoscleromorpha; Homosclerophorida; Plakinidae
Exons: 11
Source: RefSeq, a predicted model, not a curated record